GCCUAUGAUGAUACAUCCAUAUUUUUUGAGGUGUAAUGAAUCCAUGUCCCUGAUUACAGGGAGAACCUACUUGGAGGACCUACAUUGCAAAUGAUUUUAAUGGAUCUAGCUGAGGC
Molecule: small nucleolar RNA, 116 nt
Organism: Magnolia sinica
Lineage: Eukaryota; Viridiplantae; Streptophyta; Magnoliopsida; Magnoliales; Magnoliaceae
Product: small nucleolar RNA Z278
Exons: 1
Source: RefSeq, a predicted model, not a curated record